UANGGANUNUUCGNCAAUGGACGGAANUUUGACCGAGCAACGCCGCGUGAGUGAAGAAGGUUUUCGNAUCGUAAAGCUCUGUUGUUAGAGAAGAACGUUGGUAGGAGUGGAAAAUCUACCAAGUGACGGUAACUAACCAGAAAGGGACGGCUAACUACGUGCCAGCAGCCGCGGUAAUACGUAGGUCCCGAGCGUUGUCCGGAUUUAUUGGGCGUAAAGCGAGCGCAGGCGGUUCUUUAGGUCUGAAGUUAAAGGCAGUGGCUUAACCAUUGUACGCUUUGGAAACUGGAGGACUUGAGUGCAGAAGGGGAGAGUGGAAUUCCAUGUGUAGCGGUGAAAUGCGUAGAUAUAUGGAGGAACACCGGUGGCGAAAGCGGCUCUCUGGUCUGUAACUGACGCUGAGGCUCGAAAGCGUGGGGAGCAAACAGGAUUAGAUACCCUGGUAGUCCACGCCGUAAACGAUGAGUGCUAGGUGUUAGGCCCUUUCCGGGGCUUAGUGCCGCAGCUAACGCAUUAAGCACUCCGCCUGGGGAGUACGACCGCAAGGUUG
This 550-nucleotide ribosomal RNA is filed under the name uncultured bacterium. RNAcentral describes it as "bacterial SSU rRNA". It matches the Rfam family "Bacterial small subunit ribosomal RNA", at positions 355 to 896 of the family's 1533-position model. The record is from RNAcentral.